This 496-nucleotide ribosomal RNA is filed under the name uncultured bacterium. RNAcentral's name for it is "partial 16S ribosomal RNA". It matches the Rfam family "Bacterial small subunit ribosomal RNA", at positions 28 to 506 of the family's 1533-position model. The record is from RNAcentral.
GAUGAACGCUGGCGGCGUGCCUAAUACAUGCAAGUCGAGCGAACAGACGAGGAGCUUGCUCCUCUGACGUUAGCGGCGGACGGGUGAGUAACACGUGGUUAACCUACCUAUAAGACUGGGAUAACUUCGGGAAACCGGAGCUAAUACCGGAUAAUAUAUUGAACCGCAUGGUUCAAUAGUGAAAGACGGUUUUGCUGUCACUUAUAGAUGGAUCCGCGCCGCAUUAGCUAGUUGGUAAGGUAACGGCUUACCAAGGCAACGAUGCGUAGCCGACCUGAGAGGGUGAUCGGCCACACUGGAACUGAGACACGGUCCAGACUCCUACGGGAGGCAGCAGUAGGGAAUCUUCCGCAGUGGGCGAAAGCCUGACGGAGCAACGCCGCGUGAGUGAUGAAGGUCUUCGGAUCGUAAAACUCUGUUAUUAGGGAAGAACAAAUGUGUAAGUAACUAUGCACGUCUUGACGGUACCUAAUCAGAAAGCCACGGCUAACUACGU